AAUCAACGCUGGCGGCGUGCCUCAGACAUGCAAGUCGAACGCGAAAUUUCCCUUCGGGGAGAAAGUAGAGUGGCGCACGGGUGAGUAACACGUAGGUAAUUUGCCUUUGGGUGGGGAAUAACUCAGGGAAACUUGAGCUAAUACCGCAUAAUGCAGCGGCUCGACAUCGAGACAGUUGUUAAAGCGGGGGAUCGCAAGACCUCGCGCCUAAAGAGAAGCCUGCGGCAG
RNAcentral lists this ribosomal RNA (228 nucleotides) under uncultured bacterium. RNAcentral's name for it is "partial 16S ribosomal RNA". It matches the Rfam family "Bacterial small subunit ribosomal RNA", at positions 32 to 239 of the family's 1533-position model. The record is from RNAcentral.